GCAGCCGCGGUAAUACGUAGGUGGCGAGCGUUGUCCGGAUUUAUUGGGCGUAAAGGGUCCGUAGGAGGUUUUGCAAGUUUGACGUGAAAUCCCGGAGCUCAACUCCGGAACUGCGUUGAAAACUGCAGAACUCGAGUACUGGAGAGGUAAGCGGAAUACCAGGUGUAGCGGUGGAAUGCGUAGAUAUCUGGUAGAACACCAAAAGCGAAGGCAGCUUACUGGACAGAGACUGACUCUCAAGGACGAAAGCGUGGGGAGCAAACAGGAUUAGAUACCCC
RNAcentral lists this ribosomal RNA (278 nucleotides) under uncultured bacterium. RNAcentral's name for it is "partial 16S ribosomal RNA". It matches the Rfam family "Bacterial small subunit ribosomal RNA", at positions 511 to 788 of the family's 1533-position model. The record is from RNAcentral.